Molecule: long non-coding RNA, 836 nt
Organism: Mytilus californianus (California mussel)
Lineage: Eukaryota; Metazoa; Mollusca; Bivalvia; Mytilida; Mytilidae
Exons: 3
Source: RefSeq, a predicted model, not a curated record
CAAAGGUAUACUCAUUACUGUUGAUUUUGCAUGAUAACAUACAUGUUAUGUCAACUCACUUCUCCUUCCUACGGCGUCAGAGAGAGAAAAAAAAGCCUUGCAAUGCGUCAUAAUUAUUUGGACUACUUCCAUAUGACUUUAAAAAAAAAACCAACAAUAGUUUAUUUCACUGAUUGAGAUUGGACUGACGAGACAUUUCAGCAUGUGAAAUCUUAAUUUUUAGGGCAAGAAAUAUAGAAGAUAAAGAAAAAUAUAAACAAUUACAACUGUACAGUAGAAAUGAUCGGCAAAACAAGAUAAACAGAAGACAACAAGGCCUAAAUGGUGCAGAGACUUCUUGGUUUUCAUGAUCAUCAACAGAUCAAUACAGAAGAGGAAACUUAAUGUUAAUACUUUUCUACAUUGUGUGCUAAUUGGAUUAAUGUGAAAUGAAAUGUGUGCUUACCUGGAAAAAGAAAAUAGGAAAUUUCUACAAAAUGGCUGUAAACAAAAUGGAGUACAAUCAUAGAUGCACAAGAACACAAUUGUGUAAUUGCAACAACCUACACUGAAGGAUUAGGGAGAAAUGUAGAAAAAAUAGUAUUUUUUUGUCGAAAUAAACACCUGCUUUAUCCAUUCAUGUACAUAGCUCUGUCAUAUCAACUAUAUAGAGGAAGAUGUUUGAAGAACAAAUUGCAAAAAUGUAUUCUCUACCAAUUGAAGGAAGAUGUCUGGUGGAUGGAAUUAUUUAUGCACUGAACUGUUUUGUAGGGGAUUGAAUAAUUGUACGCAGCAGAAAAGUUAAAUUAACAUGAAAAGUGGUUAUUUUAUUUAAUCCGCAAAUAUGAGCACAAUAU